GGGAAAGGAAGAAAGACGACCAGAAUCAAUGAAAACAACGGAAUCAGAACAGAGUCCCCUUGUUGACGAAAAUUUAGUGGAAACCAUGAUUUAAUGGUCAUGGAAGAUGUGUAUGAAGAUUAUUUAAAGGAUCAAGGGAACCUUACCUUGGUUCCGGCAGUGUUUAGGCCACAACAGUAGCGGAAGGCAUCGCGCGAAAACUCGGCAAUCACCGACGAACCACAACCCAAGACUGAGACCUCCGAUGGAGGGUGUCGAAGGAAAAGGGUCGGCCAUUUAAAUAGAGCAAGAGGGAGAGCAUCGAAGUCCCCUUCGAACUUGGAUUGCCACAGAAGGAAUCGGGAAAUUAGCACAUGCGGCGCAGGCGCUCAAUUUUCAAUGUUUUUUUGUUUGGGCGGUUUAUGCUUACUG
This 411-nucleotide long non-coding RNA is filed under the name Phoenix dactylifera (date palm). RNAcentral's name for it is "long non-coding RNA (PDAC_LNC001075)". The record is from RNAcentral. Lineage: Eukaryota; Viridiplantae; Streptophyta; Magnoliopsida; Arecales; Arecaceae.